CCCAGUUCUGGAACCAGUAGAAGCUCUCCUCCCUCCCCCAGCUAAUCUGUUCUGGCAGCUUGAAGCUGGCAUGCCCUGGGCCAUAUCACCCAGAAGCAAGCUCCGGGUGCCUGAGGUCAGAAUACCCUGCUUGGUGACUUGGACACACCCCUUAGCAGCUGAUGCUUCUAGACAGAUCCCACCCUGUCCCUGGCUCUGCAAAAUGACAGCAGUCCCCUGAGCGCGCUGCUAGCUCCCAGGUUUGCUGUGAGGUCGGAACAGAAGUGUUUGCCAACACUUAAACAGUGCUGACCUCGGGCCAGGAGCCGUCUCAUGCAUGCAAACCGUUCAGAUCCUCAUGACUCAGGGGAGAAGGUGGUAUGCCCUGAUGUGCUUCUACUCAGGAAGGUGAGGUGUGAAGUUGUUGGUUUGUAGACUACUCGGGUGAGAAUGGGGCGCUGGCAUUCGAACCACAGUGAUCUGGCCCCUGGAAUGGCCUCUGAAGAUAUACUUGCACCUCCUUAUAGUAAAGCCCAUUGGAAACACAUCACGAAGGGGUAUUUGAGUCCAGACUCCCCUCCUCUCCACCUCUCGCACCAUACCUCUCGUACCCACAGGAGAAGGAAGAGCUCUGGGAACUGGCACAGGGUUCUCCCAGAGCAGCAGAGCAGAGCUUGGGGGAGGGGGUUUAAUGUGUGGGAAGGGAGGAUGGGCUUCUUCCGGGCCCAGAAGUAGGAAGUAGGCUGACAGGCUGUGUAGUUCCUCUCAGUGGCUGAUUCCUUUAGAGCCUCUGCUCCUUCUGUACUCUGCGGUGCUACUCUCUGACUGGAGAAGGUGAGAACAGACCCAUCCCUGCCCCAAGCCCCCCUCCACUCAUCUUCUACUUCCUAGCCUGUUACAUAAUCUGCACUCCGUCCACACGUGGAAAUAAUCACGGCUCAGCAGAAUGGGCUCGGGGGCAUGAUGAAUGGUCUGUAGGAUCGUCAGCUGACGGCCAGCUGCUCCUGAAGUGACCUGAGGGACUGCCAUAGCUCAGGUUCCCAGCCCUUCCCGGGAAAGUGGCCCUGCCUGGUGUUCAGGAAAAGUCCUAACUCAGCUCCGUGUCGGGGCGUUUAUGGUGUGAGUGCCUGGAUCAUCGUCUUGCUUACAGUCUGCACACCCAAGGCUGCUGAGAGCCACCCUGAGUCCACCUGCAGCAUCCUAGAAGGCCAACAGCCUGGUCUGCCUCUACAGGAAGCCCUUUCUCGUCCUUGGAGAGGCUCAUCAGCACAUCUGGGCACUAGCCUCUUCUGGGUCUUCUGCCAAGGGUUUUCAGGUGAAGAGAAAGGGAGCCAAAGACACCGGGCAAAGGGAUCUGGAAAGACAUGGUAGGGGCAGAGGCCUGAGGCCCCAGGAUCCUGCAGCUGUUCCAACCUAUCCACUGUAGCCCACUGAGUCAUGGUGUUGUGACUCUGCCCCCCAUCCUCAGGUAUAAGUACCCACACACUCUGAUGCCCACUGGUGAGGGGAGAGCCAAACACAUGCUCUAGGGAUCAGGCACAAGCCUUUAUUCCUGAAAACCAACUGGUUUAAGGUGAGCUGGGUUUCAAUCAUCAUACGUAAUGAUUAUGGCGAGUAUGACCACCUUUCUCUGUAACUUUUAAUAUCUGUCAAGCCCGGUGAUGCAUGCUUGUAAUCCCAGUUACUCAUGGAGCUGAGGCAGGGGGAUUAGACAUUCAAGGCUUGCCUGGGCUACAGAGUGAGUUCUAUCCAGGGCUCCAGAACCUGUAUAUAGACUCUGUUUCAAAGUGAAAAAUAAAAAGACUGUGGCUAUCGCUUAACGGUAGAGAAAAAUAAAUAAACAACCAAAUAAGGCUGAGGGUGUACUCAGUGGGUAGAGCACAGGACCCCUCCCACCUCUGGUAUCUGCUCACCCCCAGAGCCUGCCCAGGCCCAGGUCCUGCCCAGUACUCCGCACCUUCCUUGGGAGUUCAUAGGUCCUGGAUUUUCUGAGUACAGCUCAAGGCCCAGAGGACACGGGCCCCAAAGGUAAGCCAGGUUCCCUAAAAGGAAACACCACACUGCCUUCACGGGGAAGGACUUGGUCUCCUCUGCCUGCAUGACUCCAGGCACUCCCCUGUGGGGCCUGUCAGCAGUAACCAGAGCUGGCUCAGUGACUGAGAGCAGUAGGAACAUCGUUUCUUGGCAACCGUGGACAGCACACAAGAUCCAGCUAAUCACCGGUACCAGCAGAUAUCCCAGGACUCCUGAGUUGGCUGUUUCCUUCUUCGUGGCAUCUUCUCACUGGGGUUUGACCUGAGCAUUCUGGGAAGCGUGGUUCAGCUUUUUGAACCUCGCUAUCUCUCUUUUCUUUCUCCCUUCCUGCUUCCAAGUGGUUGUAUUUUUGGUUAUUGUUUAAACAAACAAACAGAACCCAAACGAACAAAUCCAAACCGUAAACGUCUACUUAUUUUACGUGUGUGAAUUUUUGCUUGUGUGUGUGUGUGUGUGUGUAUGUGUGUGUGUGUAUGUAUGUAUGUAUGUAUGUAUGUAUGUAUGUAUGUAUGUAUGUGCACCAUGUGCAACCCGGGUUAACUGAGGUUAACUCCUGGACUGGAGUUAAAGACCAUUGUGAGGACCCAAACCCGAGUCCUCUUAGAGCUGCUGGAGCCCUGGACAGCUGAACUAGUUUCCCAGCCCUUCUGUUUUGCUUUACGCCGGGCAGGAUUUCUUGUAGCUCAGGCUGGCCAACUCCCAAGUUAACCACGCCUAGCAGUUAACUUCAUUUUUGCACCAUUGCUUG
Molecule: long non-coding RNA, 2761 nt
Organism: Rattus norvegicus (Norway rat)
Lineage: Eukaryota; Metazoa; Chordata; Mammalia; Rodentia; Muridae
Source: Ensembl